UACAGAGGUCUCAACCGUUGUUCGGAUUCAUUGGGCGUAAAGGGUGCGUAGGCGGUCGUGCAAGUCGGAUGUGAAAUCUCAGGGCUCAACCCUGAAACUGCAUUCGAUACUGCGCGGCUAGAGUGCUGGAGGGGAGACUGGAAUUUACGGUGUAGCAGUGAAAUGCGUAGAUAUCGUAAGGAAGACCAGUGGCGAAGGCGAGUCUCUGGACAGCAACUGACGCUGAGGCACGAAGGCUAGGGGAGCAAACGGG
This 253-nucleotide ribosomal RNA is filed under the name uncultured bacterium. Its description in RNAcentral is "partial 16S ribosomal RNA". It matches the Rfam family "Bacterial small subunit ribosomal RNA", at positions 524 to 776 of the family's 1533-position model. The record is from RNAcentral.